UAGGGAAUCUUCGGCAAUGGGGGGAACCCUGACCGAGCAACGCCGCGUGAGUGAAGAAGGUUUUCGGAUCGUAAAGCUCUGUUGUUAAGGAAGAACGAGUGUGAGAAUGGAAAGUUCAUACUGUGACGGUACUUAACCAGAAAGCCACGGCUAACUACGUGCCAGCAGCCGCGGUAAUACGUAGGUGGCAAGCGUUGUCCGGAUUUAUUGGGCGUAAAGCGAGCGCAGGCGGUCAAUUAAGUCUGAUGUGAAAGCCCCCGGCUCAACCGGGGAGGGUCAUUGGAAACUGGUUGACUUGAGUGCAGAAGAGGGGAGUGGAAUUCCAUGGGUAGCGGUGAAAUGCGUAGAUAUAUGGAGGAACACCAGUGGCGAAGGCGACUCUCUGGUCUGUAACUGACGCUGAGGCUCGAAAGCGUGGGUAGCAAACAGG
Molecule: ribosomal RNA, 430 nt
Filed under: Bacteroidota bacterium
Lineage: Bacteria; Pseudomonadati; Bacteroidota
Description: Bacteroidetes bacterium partial 16S ribosomal RNA
Rfam family: Bacterial small subunit ribosomal RNA
Source: RNAcentral